CCCUGCAGCCUCACUGCUCAAUCCUCUGCCAUUUAGGAGUUAAAUCCCUUUGUCUAUGAACCCUAGUCACACCUCCCUGCAUGUGACUUGCACAGCCUUCCAUAAACACUUCCUGUAAAGAGAGCCCUAUUUAGGCUUUCUUUAUUGCAAGUUCUGUUUAAUUAAGAUUUUCUUAUCCCCUGCUAUGUUAAUAGCUUGCUAGACCCUGCAAGAGCCUCCUGUAUGUGAUUAAAGUUCAAUUUAGAUAUUGAGAUACAAUUAUUUAAGGUAAAUUACAUCUGUUUGAAAGUGAAACCAGUUUUUUUUUUCAUGCAGGCUCUGUCAGUCAUAGCCAGGGGAGGUGUGGCUAGGGCUGCAUAAACAGAAACAAAGUGAUUUAACUCCUAAAUGACAGUGAAUUGAGCAGUGAAAUUGCAG
RNAcentral lists this long non-coding RNA (417 nucleotides) under Pelobates cultripes (western spadefoot toad). The record is from RNAcentral. Lineage: Eukaryota; Metazoa; Chordata; Amphibia; Anura; Pelobatidae.